RNAcentral lists this transfer RNA (56 nucleotides) under Enterobius vermicularis (human pinworm). Its description in RNAcentral is "tRNA-Ile". Lineage: Eukaryota; Metazoa; Nematoda; Chromadorea; Rhabditida; Oxyuridae. The record is from RNAcentral.
GCCGUUUUAGUAAAAGUUUAUUAUGUUAUUUUGAUGGGAUAAAGUUUGAGAUGGUU